CAAAAAUAAGUGAAGAAGAUUUUGCAAGGUGCGGCCGCGCCGUCGAGGCCGGAGGCGCCGCGGGAGCAGCGAGGGCCGCAGGCAGAUUCCUCAGGACAAAUUUCUUCUGCAAGUCCUUUCAGAGGAGAUCUACCAGUGAAAUGUCCACAAUAACAGAUUGAAAAGGAUGAUAAAAUAAAAUGGCAAGGACUAUGUGGAACCAAACAGCACCUACUUGCUGUUUUCUUGUAGAAAACCCUUGCACUGCUCAACAUAUCUACGCUAUUCC
Molecule: long non-coding RNA, 268 nt
Organism: Melospiza georgiana
Lineage: Eukaryota; Metazoa; Chordata; Aves; Passeriformes; Passerellidae
Exons: 3
Source: RefSeq, a predicted model, not a curated record